This 319-nucleotide ribosomal RNA is filed under the name uncultured eukaryote. RNAcentral describes it as "partial 18S ribosomal RNA". It matches the Rfam family "Eukaryotic small subunit ribosomal RNA", at positions 1470 to 1796 of the family's 1831-position model. The record is from RNAcentral.
CCCUUAGAUGUUCUGGGCUGCACGCGUGCUACAAUGGCGUUUCCAGCAAGUCUGCGAACCCGAGAGGGCCAGCGGAUCUUCGAAUUGGCGUCGUGAUCGGGACAGUCGAUUGCAAUUAUUUGACUCAAACGAGGAAUUCCUUGUAAUCGCGAUUCAUCAUAUCGCGCUGAAUACGUCCCUGCCCUUUGUACACACCGCCCGUCGCUCCUACCGAUUGAGCGAUCCGGUAAAUGUUUUGGAUUGGUGCCGGGGCGGCUAGCUACCGGUCGCUACGAAAUUUUGUGAACCUUAUCGCUUAGAGGAAGGAAAAGUCGUAACA